This is a non-coding RNA of Acanthosepion pharaonis, 100 nucleotides long. The record is from the annotation of a GenBank genome assembly. NCBI's taxonomy places the organism in Eukaryota, Metazoa, Mollusca, Cephalopoda, Sepiida, Sepiidae.
CAUUGAAACACCCGUUUUUGUUCGAUCGCCGAAGUUGAACAACGAUGAGUCUGGUCAGUAAGUAGAUGGGUGACCGCUUGGGAACUCCAGGUGCUGUAAG